UCAUGACAAAACUUCUGCUGUUAGAAAUUGGCAAGGUUUGGGCAGAAAGAUACCAAGCAAAGCAAGAGCAGGGUUUGUGUCAUGUUAGCAAGGUUUGGGAAUGAUGAGAAAUGGAGAUGAAAGUAACCAAGUGUUUUGGUUUGACAUCAAAUGAUCAAAUCCAAGCAUAAUAAGGAGGAGGUUUUAAAAAAAUCAGUGAG
RNAcentral lists this long non-coding RNA (200 nucleotides) under Lathyrus oleraceus (garden pea). RNAcentral's name for it is "Pisum sativum (pea) long non-coding RNA (PSAT_LNC004094)". Lineage: Eukaryota; Viridiplantae; Streptophyta; Magnoliopsida; Fabales; Fabaceae. The record is from RNAcentral.